This is a long non-coding RNA of Cyprinus carpio carpio, 604 nucleotides long. The record is from Ensembl. Lineage: Eukaryota; Metazoa; Chordata; Actinopteri; Cypriniformes; Cyprinidae.
ACUAUGGGAUCAGAAUCCCGCCAAAUGUAUUGCAGUCAUAGAUCGAAAAAUAAUAAGCAUAAAUAAAACAUUUAAAAACACAUGUAAAAUAAUAACGCACAAAACUGAAAAACAAAUGCAAUUUUUUUUUUAAAUAACAAACAACGCGGUCAUGGAUCGAAAAAUAAUAAGCGUGAAUCAAAAAUGUAAACACAUUUAAAAUUAUAUUGCACAAAACUGAAACAUGAAUUCAAAAUUUUCCAAAUCGCAAACAAAAUCAGGUUUCCUGCUCAUAUGUUAUUUUUUUGUGUGCUUGUGGUCUUUUCCCCUUUGCUCUUGUUUCCACGUUCUGCGCUUGCGUUUCUAAAUGUUGCAGUUAGAGUUUCAUGUAAAUCAGGGCGGGCUUCAGCGUCACCAUUGGGCCACAAGUUCUAGAUUGACAGCUGCUCCUCUAGCCAAUCAGUCCAAGGGGGAGUUGACGUCACUCCAAUGCGACUCGUGGCUGCUGUGGCAGGUGUGUGAAGCUGGAUAAUCAGCGUCAGCAGGCAAAUCCUGGACGAUCUCAGGUAAUUAGCCAUAAAUAUUUUGUUAAUGGGUGACAGAAACAUUCCCUUUGUGUGUUAUG